AGUGAACGCUGGCGGUAGGCCUAACACAUGCAAGUCGAACGGCAGCACAGUAAGAGCUUGCUCUUACGGGUGGCGAGUGGCGGACGGGUGAGGAAUACAUCGGAAUCUACUUUUUCGUGGGGGAUAACGUAGGGAAAAUUACGCUAAUACCGCAUACGACCUACGGGUGAAAGCAGGGGAUCUUCGGACCUUGCGCGAUUGAAUGAGCCGAUGUCAGAUUAGAUAGUUGGCGGGGUAAAGGCCCACCAAGGCGACGAUCCGUAGCUGGUAUGAGAGGAUGAUCAGCCACACUGGAACUGAGACACGGUCCAGACUCCUACAGGGGGCAGCAGUGGGGAAUAUUGGACAAUGGGCGCAAGCCUGAUCCAGCCAUACCGCGUGGGUGAAGAAGGCCUUCGGGUUGUAAAGCCCUUUUGUUGGGAAAGAAAAGCAGCAGGUUAAUACCCCGCUGUUCUGACGGUACCCAAAGAAUAAGCACCGGCUAACUUCGUG
Molecule: ribosomal RNA, 492 nt
Filed under: uncultured bacterium
Lineage: Bacteria
Description: partial 16S ribosomal RNA
Rfam family: Bacterial small subunit ribosomal RNA
Source: RNAcentral